AGUAACACGUGAGAAACCUGCCCCGGAGAUCGGGAUAGCCCAGGGAAACCUGGAUUAAUACCGAAUACCCUCGAAUGGUCGCAUGUCCGGAUCGAGGAAAUGGUCCGCUGCUCCGGGAUGGUCUCGCGUCCUAUCAGCUAGUUGGUGAGGUAACGGCUCACCAAGGCAUCGACGGGUAGCUGGUCUGAGAGGACGAUCAGCCACACUGGGACUGAGACACGGCCCAG
This 227-nucleotide ribosomal RNA is filed under the name uncultured bacterium. RNAcentral's name for it is "partial 16S ribosomal RNA". It matches the Rfam family "Bacterial small subunit ribosomal RNA", at positions 109 to 334 of the family's 1533-position model. The record is from RNAcentral.